CGCGCAGGCGGUUCGGUAAGUCGGUCUUAAAAGUGCGGGGCUUAACCCCCGUGAUGGGAUUGAAACUGCCGGACUGGAGUGUCGGAGAGGAAAGCAGAAUUCCUAGUGUAGCGGUGAAAUGCGUAGAUAUUAGGAGGAAUACCAGUGGCGAAAGCGACUUACUGGCCUGCAACUGACACUGAGGCACGAAAGCGUGGGGAGGCAAAACA
RNAcentral lists this ribosomal RNA (209 nucleotides) under uncultured bacterium. Its description in RNAcentral is "partial 16S ribosomal RNA". It matches the Rfam family "Bacterial small subunit ribosomal RNA", at positions 568 to 776 of the family's 1533-position model. The record is from RNAcentral.